This 468-nucleotide ribosomal RNA is filed under the name uncultured bacterium. RNAcentral's name for it is "partial 16S ribosomal RNA". It matches the Rfam family "Bacterial small subunit ribosomal RNA", at positions 28 to 507 of the family's 1533-position model. The record is from RNAcentral.
GACGAACGCUGGCGGCGUGCUUAACACAUGCAAGUCGAACGGAAAGGCCCUGCUUUUGUGGGGUGCUCGAGUGGCGAACGGGUGAGUAACACGUGAGUAACCUGCCCUUGACUUUGGGAUAACUUCAGGAAACUGGGGCUAAUACCGGAUAGGAGCUCCUGCUGCAUGGUGGGGGUUGGAAAGUUUCGGCGGUUGGGGAUGGACUCGCGGCUGAUCAGCUUGUUGGUGGGGUAGUGGCUUACCAAGGCUGUGACGGGUAGCCGGCCUGAGAGGGUGACCGGCCACAUUGGGACUGAGAUACGGACCAGACUCCUACGGGAGGCAGCAGUGGGGAAUAUUGCACAAUGGGCGGAAGCCUGAUGCAGCAACGCCGCGUGCGGGAUGACGGCCUUCGGGUUGUAAACCGCUUCCGCCUGUGACGAAGCGUGAGUGACGGUAAUGGGUAAAGAAGCACCGGCUAACUACGUG